GAUGAAGAACCGUAGCGAAAUGCGAUACUUGGUGUGAAUUGCAGAAUCCCGUGAACCAUCAAGUCUUUGAACGCAAGUUGCGCCCGAAGCCAUUAGGCCGAGGGCACGCCUGCCUGGGCGUCACACGUCGUUGCCCCCCCAUCUAAUCCUUCGGGAUUGCGGGGGGCGGAUGAUGGCCUCCCGUGCGCCUCGUCGCGCGGUUGGCAUAAAUGCCAAGUCCUCGGCGACGCACGCCACGACAAUCGGUGGUUGCGAAACCUCGGUUGCCCGUUGUGUGCGGUCGUCGCGCAUCGAGGGCUCGAAAAAAUUGCCGGGCUCCGGCUCGACUUUCAACGCGACCCCAGGUCAGGCGGGGUUACCCGCUGAAUUUAAGCAUAUCAAUAAGCGGAGGA
RNAcentral lists this unclassified non-coding RNA (392 nucleotides) under soil metagenome. Its description in RNAcentral is "partial contains 5.8S ribosomal RNA, internal transcribed spacer 2, and large subunit ribosomal RNA". The stretch from base 1 to 123 matches the Rfam family "5.8S ribosomal RNA", at positions 35 to 154 of the family's 154-position model. The record is from RNAcentral.